Molecule: ribosomal RNA, 262 nt
Filed under: uncultured bacterium
Lineage: Bacteria
Description: partial 16S ribosomal RNA
Rfam family: Bacterial small subunit ribosomal RNA
Source: RNAcentral
GUCCACGCCCUAAACGAUGUCAACUGGUUGUUGGGAGGGUUUCUUCUCAGUAACGUAGCUAACGCGUGAAGUUGACCGCCUGGGGAGUACGGCCGCAAGGUUGAAACUCAAAGGAAUUGACGGGACCCGCACAAGCGGUGGAUGAUGUGGUUUAAUUCGACGCAACGCGAAAACCUUACCUACCCUUGACAUGUCUGGAAUUUUGCAGAGAUGUGAAAGUGCUCGAAAGAGAACCAGAACACAGGUGCUGCAUGGCCGUCGU